Molecule: long non-coding RNA, 475 nt
Filed under: Hordeum vulgare
Lineage: Eukaryota; Viridiplantae; Streptophyta; Magnoliopsida; Poales; Poaceae
Description: long non-coding RNA (HVUL_LNC014201)
Source: RNAcentral
AAGAAAUGAACAAAGAAAAGCAAAGACAAAAGGAAAAAAGAAAACCAAAGAAAAAAUAGUGUACAAAAGAAAAAAUAAAACAUGAAAAGGGAGAAUAGCAAAGAAAGAAAGAAAGAAAGAAAAACAAAGAGAAAAAAGAAACUGGAAACCUUGGGAAAUGCAUUGCAAACAAGUAAAGUGAAGGGGAAAGGAUAGAAACAAACAGGGGGACUGCCAAAUACAAAAUACUAAAGAAAUAGAUUAAGAAACGAAGUAAACCAAGGAAAACCGGAGUAAAAAACAAAAACAAAGAAACGUGGAGAAAACGGGUUAAAACGCAUGGAGAAACAAAGAAAACAAAGAAAUAAAAAAACAAAGAUAAAAAAGGAAAACUAGAAACAAAUGAAAUCCAAACAUAAAUGAAAAGAAAACAAAUUAAAAAUAAAAUAGAGUUAAAUCAAAGAAACCAGCUAAAGGAAACACAAAAAAUGAAAAA